Long non-coding RNA from Bos taurus (domestic cattle), 1750 nucleotides. The record is from Ensembl. NCBI's taxonomy places the organism in Eukaryota, Metazoa, Chordata, Mammalia, Artiodactyla, Bovidae.
UUUCUAUAAUAUCUUUUAAAAUGGCCACUUGUAUUUUAAUAGCUGUGAAAGACACUGGGGUCAGAAAGAGACAUGACUGAGUGACUAAUACAAAGACAUUAGACUUCUUUUUAGGUAAAGAGAGUGGGAAUAGUAAGCUGUGUGUUAUUUAGCACAUUUUGUUCCUUUCUGAGUCUGCUUUUCUGGAGUCCUGACAUCCUCUACAAACAAAAUCAAUGUUAUGGAUGGCCUCAUUUUGGACAGGAAUGAAGUGAGACCAAAGUUUGGCUAGUGUCUAGGGUAAUGACUGUCAGAACAUUCCAGAGUGGUGCUGAGGAAAUCCGGCCCACACACAUCUUCAAGUUUGAGGAGAAGCAAAUCUGUGCCUUUACCAGCAGGACCUUCUAGGCCUGGUGGGGAGCCAGACACUCUUUUCCAGGAGAGUUUGGGAGGUGCUACUACUGUAGCUGACUUAGGAAGAUGUGACAGGAGCCAGAAGAGGUGAAAAUGUCUGGAAGUCAGCACAGGGCUGGGGGGCCAGUGAGCAGUGCUCAGGAAAUAUUUUUGAAUGAAUGAAUGACAAAGCAUUAAUUCCUGCCCUUACAAGCCUAACAGCUCCAUUUCCCAGGGGUUUCCCCUUAGCACUUCGACUUUGCCACCAAGGGAAAAAUAAGAUACACCAUUGCCCUUCAAGAAACUUACAAGACAGGACAAGACUCAGGAAAUGACCAAAGACAAGGGAAGGCCCAGUCCAUUGAGACGAGAGGAACUUAGGGAAAUUUCAGGGAAUUUCUGGUGAUCCCUUCCAAAUCACAGCAAAACUUUGGGUUAGGCAAGGGUUGUGGACACUUCUUGAUGAACCGAUUGAAACUUUCAAAGUCCCCUGCUGCUUGUGGCCCUAGCAGAAGGCCCUUAAGAGUUCCAGGAUGAAGGCAGUUGCUGUCCUAGGGUUCAGUACCCGCAGCCGGGCCAGCAGCGAGGCAGCCUCGGCCGGUCCAGGGCCUCCGCCGAGGCCAGUCCGCGCCCCGCGCCGCUCGCGACCGACCGGCCCGGACGCGGGCGGACAGCGCGGAGCCCCGGGCGAGCCUUUGUGCCGCCGGCAGCUGCCUUUGUGCGACGCGGGUUCGCGCGCCCCUCCAGGCGGCCGCCUCUGCAAGGAUCGCCCCCGCUGCGCUCCAUACCUGCUCCUUUGUCACCAGCUGCCGAAGAAUUCAGAAAAUCAAAUUUAUUUCCCGAUUACCGAUUACCGCCGGGACGCCCCUUUGUGCGGAAUGAAUGGAUGGAUGUUGACUCCAAGGCUUGCCAGCCCAGCGCUGCCCUCAGCCUGCGGGUAAAUCCAAUUUCAGCCUCUGAGUGCUCAGCGCUAUCAGCACCUCGCCACUGCCGGAAGCCACAGGCCAAUCUGAAAAAGUUCCUCUUCCACCGGAUUCUCAGGUGUCUUAGGCACCUGAAGAUAAACGAUGGGAGCCAGUGGUCAUGGCGGUGAAUUGGAUACCUACACCAGACAAAGCCUGAGAGGCGUAAUCAAAUAAGGGAACCACUUGAACUGAACUCCCAGCAGGAGCAGGAGGGAGGCCUGGAGAGGUUACAGAUGGCCCUGAAGGUGACAUAGGCAGUGAGACUUUGAAGAUCACAUCAAAGCCAUCAAAGCACAGAAUGUUGGUGCCGGAUGGCCCUUUCAAGUUCACGGUCCACUCCAUCCCAAAGACAGAUGGGAAAACUGAAGCCCAUGCUAAGAGAAGUUCCUUCCCCAAGGCCACAGGCAGAAAUG